Molecule: long non-coding RNA, 225 nt
Filed under: Mytilus galloprovincialis (Mediterranean mussel)
Lineage: Eukaryota; Metazoa; Mollusca; Bivalvia; Mytilida; Mytilidae
Source: RNAcentral
GAAGGUAGCUGCUGGUGUAAGUAUGUUUAUUGAUAUGAACGAAGCGUUGUUUUACUAUACAUGUACUUAUUUACAUGGUAAGAUGACAAAAUGAAUUGACCAAGAGCAGACAAUUCUUAAAUUGCAGUGAAAGCUUUACAUUCUUGAAAACAUUUUUUUAAUUUCACAUAAAACCUAAAACUAUCACAAACAGUUGGAUCCACCUCCCACAUCUUUGGUUGAAAC